GAAGAGAACAUGAGAUAACUAAGCAGCCAUGCUGUAUUUUGUUGUUUUCUUAUUUCUACUUGAGUAUGAUGAAAAUAUGCAGUUUCCAUGAACGACCACAUGAAUCAAAUAGUGGGGAAAGCAGAUGCCAGACAGAAUCAUAGAAGAACCUUAAGGAAAUAUAACUCAUCCACAAACGAAGUAGCAUACAAGGUGCUUGUAUGACUGAUUCUUGAAUAUUGUUCAUCAAUCUUGGACCCAUGCCAGAUGUAUCUCCACGAAAUCCAGAAGUUGUUCCUCAUCUUUCAGUGUCUUACUAUUGGAUGUGUGCAGUCAAGUCCCCUUAAAAUGCACUUUUUCCUUCAUAAAUGCAACAAAAAUGAUGCAGCUAAGGGAAUACUGACAUCGAUAGUGCUGCUCAGAGUCAUAAGCAUCCCUGGGCAGAGAGAGGGGGGGGCACUGAACAGGAAUAUCUGUGCAAUAAAUGAAGACUUCAGCAUGCUGUGAG
Molecule: long non-coding RNA, 487 nt
Organism: Schistocerca cancellata (South American locust)
Lineage: Eukaryota; Metazoa; Arthropoda; Insecta; Orthoptera; Acrididae
Exons: 3
Source: RefSeq, a predicted model, not a curated record